GUGCCAGCAGCCGCGGUAAUACGUAGGGUGCAAGCGUUAAUCGGAAUUACUGGGCGUAAAGCGUGCGCAGGCGGUUUUGUAAGACAGUGGUGAAAUCCCCGGGCUCAACCUGGGAACUGCCAUUGUGACUGCAAGGCUAGAGUGCGGCAGAGGGGGAUGGAAUUCCGCGUGUAGCAGUGAAAUGCGUAGAUAUGCGGAGGAACACCGAUGGCGAAGGCAAUCCCCUGGGCCUGCACUGACGCUCAUGCACGAAAGCGUGGGGACAAACAGGAUUA
Molecule: ribosomal RNA, 275 nt
Filed under: uncultured Burkholderiales bacterium
Lineage: Bacteria; Pseudomonadati; Pseudomonadota; Betaproteobacteria; Burkholderiales
Description: partial 16S ribosomal RNA
Rfam family: Bacterial small subunit ribosomal RNA
Source: RNAcentral